RNAcentral lists this long non-coding RNA (1822 nucleotides) under Malus domestica (apple). RNAcentral's name for it is "long non-coding RNA (MDOM_LNC017598)". The record is from RNAcentral. Lineage: Eukaryota; Viridiplantae; Streptophyta; Magnoliopsida; Rosales; Rosaceae.
GACGGACAAGUGGAAAAGGAAAAAUCCAAUUAUGGGUCCAGAACAAAAUGUUGUGACCAUUUCCCACAAAAACAGUGCGCGGGAUUUUUUGCGUUGUUUCAUAUAUGUUUUUCUCCGUAACACAAAAACAGACCGGCAUGUUGUAAGAUAUUCGAGAGCCAAUCUCGAAAUCUCAUUGAUAUCUUAGAGAAUAACAAAUAAAAACAAACAUGGUAACACUAGAAACAACUCAGAAAAGCUUAAGAUUGGACAACUCAAUUUAUUUAGACCGGGUCAUAAUGUUACACACUGAAAUUCACUCGAGCAUCUCGCGCACAUUAGAUGCUCGACAAAAACAUGAAUUGAAAGACGUUAACACAACAGAGUUCAUAAUUACAGCUCAAGAACAAUAUAUUGUAUCCCGGAUUGGGGUUCGAUAAACCCACUCAUUUCUUCCCGCUUUUCUUGAGCCCAGAACCUCCGAAGGACCCUUUCUGUUGUGCCUUGGCUCUAAGCUCCUUCAGUGCCUGUUUAUCACAAGCAUGAUAAGUUAGUAAAUAAUUUAUCACAACACUCGAUAAACGAACCGGAUUAUGUUAAGAAAAACCUACCUUUUCCUCCUCUUUCUUCUUCUGAAGGUUGGCCAAAUCGGACUGCACAAUAGAAGAUAAAGAUUCUUAUUCCAGGACAUAACACGUAAUUUUGAAAGGCACUGAAAAACAAGCUAAUUACUUCAUGAACUUGAACAUGUAUUUGUACAAGGAUAAGGUUCAACGUACAGUUGAAUAUAAUGACACAAACCACCAUGGGCGAAAUCUAAAGUAUAAAGAUUCAAAUAUAAGCGCAGUUGAGAACAAUUUAGCUGGGGCAAGUUUAAAAUAAACACACAGUUUCAGAAGCUCCUUGUUUCUACAUUCAAAACAUGCAAGAUUCAACAGAGUGACAAAGGAGUCAUAAAAUAGCAUAGCCUGUAACUGUAACACAUAAAAUAUGCUCCGGUGAACAGGGCAAAAACAGCGUUUUUCAAAAUUCAAGCUAUAAGCCUAAUACAAUGCGCAUACUAUGAGCUGAACAUUGAGCAUCUUCUAGUCGGAGACACAGAGAAUCCAUCCGUUUAUAUUUGUUUGACACAAAUUUCCAAGGUUACUAUGCCAAAUCUAUCGAAAAAUAGUUAUUUGCAUUAUUGUUUCCACAAUCGAAUCCAACGUUACAAAAAACAAUAGACCAUUCUUUGAAUAACCUCAAUUCCUACGAAAUACAAACUUUAGGGAAGAGUACUAAAUAAAAUCACCCAGCUCCUACCUACUGAUUAAUCAAACAAGAUAACGAUUUCAACUACAUACUAAUCCCUUAAGCAUAAGUUUUACCUAAUAAAUGGGAUUUUAAAAUUUCAACAUACAGUACAAAAAAAAAUCAGAGCUAAAAGGAUCCGAUCCACCCAAAACACAAAUCUGAAAUCAUCAUCCACCUAAAACAUAAACCUAAACAUUCCUCUAAUUAUUUUCCCAUUUCAUAUACCCAGUAAGGUCCUGAAUAAUAAUACCACCAAAGCUACCAACUUCAUCAUUCAAACAUAAUCAAACAAUUAAUCAUACCUCGUCGUACUCCUUCUUGUCGGCCUUGGGUGCCUUCAAGGGCUUUGCUUUUCCACCUGAAAAAUAAAGCACAAUUUCAUACUUCUGUGUUCGAAAAGCUUAACAAAUUUCUAGGGUUUUUUUUCCCCUAAUUUCCGAAUUGACAAAAAAUUGGUCGGAAUUGAAAUUGAAUCUUUAAAAUCUAGGGUUUUUAUCGUAAAGGACAUACCUUGCUUGGAAGACAUGGCUGGGAUCUAGGGCAAAAGGCU